RNAcentral lists this long non-coding RNA (877 nucleotides) under Aquilegia coerulea. Its description in RNAcentral is "long non-coding RNA (ACOE_LNC001448)". Lineage: Eukaryota; Viridiplantae; Streptophyta; Magnoliopsida; Ranunculales; Ranunculaceae. The record is from RNAcentral.
CAUGGGCUCUGAGCCUCAGACAUGUUUCCCCACCCAUUCAUUCAUUAUUGACUCUCUCUCUCUCUCUCUCACAAACACACACAUCAUACACAGUUACACACAUCUUCACCUAUUUAUUUGAUCUUCUCUUAGGAUCUUCACUAUUGAUUUUGGUCUUGAAUUCUAGUAUUCUACCAAACAAUUAAUAAAGGAAUCUUUUUCUAUUUGAAAAAUGAAACCUUGUAGUAUCAUGUUCUUCUGUCUAAUUACAAUUGCCUUCUACCUCUCAUCUUUAAACAUCACACAUGCAUCUUCCUCUUCCUCUUCCCCUCCUAACACUUCCACAUUACUCACAGGAAAGCGAACUAUGAGGAAACUGGGCUCCGAAAAGCCUGAAGUUCGAAAAGAAGACAAUGAUAUUAAGGUGUGUGAGAAGUAGAAAUGAAUUCUUAGUUCUACUGACAUUUUUCUUUUGUUACCACUUAUAUUAAUCCAUGAUUACAAAUGGAUUGUGUUGUCGAUUUCAGGUUGUCAAAACACAGUGGCAGCAGGCAAAUAAAGGAUCUGCGGUUGGAGAAGAUGUAGACGAAGAUGGAGAUGGGCUGGUUUACCAUAUUGACUAUCACGGCGUGUCAACACAUCCUUAUCCCUCUCCCAAACAUCCUAGACCAUAGGAAGCAAUUAAGCAAACAGUCAUAUUCAUGAUGGAAGCGAAGAUCCCUGCUAAAUUUAAUGUAUGGAUACUUCUAUAUAAAUAGUGUUUCGCCUGUAUCUAUAAUUCUAUAUACGAAUUAUUUCACCAUCAGUCUCCAUAACUGCAACAAGAAGCACCAAAUUUGCAGGUAGAUGUCACUUAGUAAACUAACUGUUUAUAGUAACACUACAUUACUUGGUUGUU